Molecule: ribosomal RNA, 251 nt
Filed under: uncultured prokaryote
Description: partial 16S rRNA
Rfam family: Bacterial small subunit ribosomal RNA
Source: RNAcentral
ACGGAAGGUGCAAGCGUUAGUCGGAUUUAUUGGGCGUAAAGGGUGCGUAGGCGGUACAGAAAGUUGGAUGUGAAAUUCCGGGGCUCAACCUCGGAGCGGCAUCCAAAACUCCUGUGCUUGAGGAAUGGCGGAGAAAACGGAAUUCCAUGUGUAGCGGUGAAAUGCGUAGAUAUAUGGAAGAACACCUGUGGCGAAAGCGGUUUUCUAGCCUCAACCUGACGCUAAUGCACGAAAGCAAGGGGAGCAAACAG